CAGUGUUACAGCCCUUUUAGAAUUUGUCUAGCAGGUUUUCUGGCUUUCCAGAAAACCUCC
Pongo abelii (Sumatran orangutan) is the source of this 60-nucleotide small nuclear RNA. Its record names the gene U7. It matches the Rfam family "U7 small nuclear RNA". From Rfam's summary of the family: Animal histone pre-mRNAs are spliced by a different mechanism than nuclear pre-mRNAs and self-splicing introns. This processing involves the U7 snRNP, which contains only one RNA species: U7. The 5' end of U7 RNA is thought to base-pair to a conserved spacer element downstream of the cleavage site in histone pre-mRNA. NCBI's taxonomy places the organism in Eukaryota, Metazoa, Chordata, Mammalia, Primates, Hominidae. The record is from Ensembl.